Molecule: long non-coding RNA, 1785 nt
Organism: Homo sapiens (human)
Lineage: Eukaryota; Metazoa; Chordata; Mammalia; Primates; Hominidae
Gene: MAPKAPK5-AS1
Product: MAPKAPK5 antisense RNA 1
Source: Ensembl
UGGAAAACGCUCUUCUGAGAGGAUCUGUGGAGGUCAACCCAGGAGAGAGAAGACAGGACUGAAGCACUGAAAGGGUCCUGCCGUUAAGGGCGCAGGAUUGUAUAGAAUAUAUAAUAGCAGUAGCAGCUCUGUUUACGGAGCAUUAACCUUACGUGGAGUUAUUUCCUGCAUUUCCUCCUUUCGUCUUUACAAGGUAGCCGUUUGGCGUCGUGAGGUAUGGAUGUUCCCAUCCCUAAUUUGCAAAAUAGGUAACUGAGGCUCAGGAGAGCUAGACUAGUUUGUGCACAGCCGAGAAGUGGUCAAGCUAGAAUGGGACCCCAGGUUUGUGCUCCCUACUCUCCACCGAUAACCUAUCAAAGGGCUUUGCAAGAGCUUUUGACUAAUCGUCUGUCAAUGGUUCUUCAUUCACGUAUUAAUUGCACAUCAGUAUGUGCCAAAUCUACUAGACAUUGGAGAAACAGUAGGAACAACACAUGGUACCGGCACAUGGAUCUUUCAGGAAAACGAAGUAGGUAAUAAACAGGAAAAAGCCCGAGUCUGAUGCUAAGAAGAACAUAAACAGGAUGCUGAGGUAAGAGAAUAACUGGAUGUGGGGACUUCUUCGUAUUAGAUGAUUAAGGAAGGAAUCUCAGGAGGUAACAUUUAAGCUGAGACCCCUGAGGAAUGAGAAAGGGCUGGCUAUUGGAAAUCCAAGGAAAGAUUUCUGGGCAGAUGGGUAGAAAUUUUAAGGUGGAAAUAAGCUAAAUAUGUUCAAGAAUCAGCAAGAAGGUCAUUGUAGCUGGAGUAGAUCGAGUAGGAGGAGACUGAUAAAGGGUGAGGUUGGAGGCUGGGCGCGGUGGGUCACGCCUGUAAUCCCAGCACUUCGGGAGGCCAAGGCGGGCGGAUCACUUGAAGUCAGGAGUUCGAGACCGGCCUGGCCAACAUGGCGAAACCCCGUCUCUAUUUCAAAAAAAGAAAAAAAAAAGUAUAAAAAGGAUGAGGUUGGAGAUGUGGGCAGGGGCUGCAUCAUAUGUGGCCUUUGGGGGUCAUAAUCAGGACUUUGGAUUUUAUUCUAAGCUAUUGUAAGGUUUUAAAGUAAAGAGUGAUGUGAACAAAUUUGUUUUAAAAGAUCACUCUGCUUUGUAGAGAAUAGAAUAUAGGAAAGCAAGAAUGGAAACAGAGCUAUUAGGAGGCUAUUGGAGAAUAAUGCAGAUGAGAGAUUAUUACACUGUCUGAACUAAGGAGGUGGCGGUAAAGGUGUAGAGAAGAUGGAUUUUUUUUUUUAAACGGUCCCACUGUCUAGAGUGCAGUGGCGUGAUCACAGCUCACUGCAACCUAGACCUCCUGGGCUCAGGCGAUCCUCCCACCUCAGCAUCCUGAGUAGCUGGGACUAUAGGCGCAUGCCACCAUGCCUGGCUAAUUUUUCGUAUUUUUUUUGUAGAGAUUGGGUCUCUCCACAUUGCCCCGGCUGCUCUCCAACCCCUGAGUUCAAGUGAUUCACCUCCCUUGGCCUCCCAAAGUACUGGGAUUACAGGCGUGAGCCACCGUGCCUGGCUGAGAAGAUGGAUUUAAGACAUAUUUUGGAGCGGAAAGUGACCAGAAGAGGUGUGCAGUUUCCAGGCCUGGCCCAUACAGACCUCCAACAGGUGCUCCCCUGUGCUGUUACUCCUUCUGCCAACUGGAAGCAGAUGGUGACCAGGCUCUGGAGAAGGCAAGGCCUGAAGAUGGGAGAUUCCUAAGUGGAGGAGAACUGUGCCUUACUGACCUAAAUAUCCACUCAGUAUUGUUAUGUGAGAAUAAAUAAAC